GACGAACGCUGGCGGCGUGCUUAACACAUGCAAGUCGAACGGAAAGGCCCUGCUUUUGUGGGGUGCUCGAGUGGCGAACGGGUGAGUAACACGUGAGUAACCUGCCCUUGACUUUGGGAUAACUUCAGGAAACUGGGGCUAAUACCGGAUAGGAGCUCCUGCUGCAUGGUGGGGGUUGGAAAGUUUCGGCGGUUGGGGAUGGACUCGCGGCUUAUCAGCUUGUUGGUGGGGUAGUGGCUUACCAAGGCUUUGACGGGUAGCCGGCCUGAGAGGGUGACCGGCGACAUUGGGACUGAGAUACGGCCCAGACUCCUACGGGAGGCAGCAGUGGGGAAUAUUGCACAGUGGGCGGAAGCGUGAUGCAGCAACGCCGCGUGCGUGAUGACGGCCUUCGGGGUGUAAACCGCUUUCGCCUGUGACGAAGCGUGAGUGACGGUAAUGGGUAAAGAAGCACCGGCUAACUACGUG
Molecule: ribosomal RNA, 468 nt
Filed under: uncultured bacterium
Lineage: Bacteria
Description: partial 16S ribosomal RNA
Rfam family: Bacterial small subunit ribosomal RNA
Source: RNAcentral